CAAUUCUUUGAGAUACACGGUAACCCAUAACCCCACAAUUUCAGCUAAAAUGUCUUUUAUUGGCAGAGGAUUUGUUUCUCUCAUGAGAAAUGCAACAAAUAGAAUUCAUCCAAUCCAAAGCAGGGUUUGCCUCCGUACUGUGGUCCGCCAUAGAACUACAAACGAUAAUGGCGGAAUGCUAGAGGCUCCAUUUUCAAUGCGGUUUGGACUGCCCAAAGUCGUUGCCGUUGUAGUCCCAUUCCUUUAUUUUGGUGCAACAAUCAGCAAAGAAGGAGCAGCUUUCCUAGAGGAGUAUGAUAUCUUUGUUCCCGAGGAUGAUGACUAGAUGGCUUUCUUCUGCAGAGAUUCUAUCAAAUUCACAGACCUUGUUCUUAACUCAAGACCGUGCUGAGAUCGGAUACAGUGCCCCUACUUUAAAGAUCCAUGUUGGAAAUCAAUCUUCAAGAGUCAGAAUCUCAGCUCUUUUGGUACAGUGGAACAUCAUUAUAGCUAACCCCUUUUGACUACUAUUAUUUUUGGUUUGAAAUCUUGUUUGAUAAUAUGCAGAAUUAUAAUAUAAUAGAACAUAAAAAGAAAGGGUAAAGGCCCUGUCACAUGACAUUGUUCCGUGCAAGCCUUGCAGUAGACAGGAAUAUCUGUCGUUUCUGGGGAUUUAUUUAACAAUUUAUGACAUGAGUGGAGCAAACAUUAAUUCAGCAGAACAACCAAUGUACAGAGACUGAAGCUUUUGGUCUAGUCUUGCAGGUGAUUGCUUGCAACCUGUCCGCAACAAAGGUUUGAGCAUGUUCAAAAUCUGCUUGUGCUCGUGCUGCUAACUGUGUGUGAGAUACUGCAAGAAACUGUCAUUGCAGGCAACCUGCUGGUAGCAAAUAUAGUUACCCACAACUCACACCCAAGGCUUGCAUGGGACAGUGUGACAGAGCCUUUGGGAAGUUAUCUAUCCAUAUCUGUAAGUUUCCCAACUGGUGUUCUUAUUAAUGGGGUUCCAUUGUAUAUAUUUUGUCUUGGUAGCUUAACAGAAAUCUAAGCCAACUUUGACAUUGUCUUUCAGCAGACUUUAGGCAAGGUCCUAUGCCAGAUGUCCUAUGUCUGAUGAUGUUUGUAUCAGAUGCAGAGUGGUGGCUCAAACCCCUUGAUUAGUUAGGCGACUUUAUCCAAAAGAUCUUGAGGAAUGUCACGGUUGCUCACACUAAGUAUCAGUAUCAAAGGUGUGGAUUUAAUUGGUCAGAGUGGCAUGCUAGUGAAUUAUUCAUACCCUGUUGUCUACUGGAAUCCAAAGGCCCUUGUGAUAGAGCACAUUCACCCUGGCCUACUACGCAUCCCUCUUAUGCUGGCUGGUCUCCUCCUGGGCUCCAUAACACAAAGAAUAGCGAUCAAUUGCUAAAUGAACUGACCAAUCAAUAUCAAUUUUACAUGCGCAAUUGGUUUAAAAUACUGACCAGGGACCAAUCAGUGCGGUUCUUUCAUAUUUGCAAUCCAUCGAAAACCUUUGUGUUACGGAGCACAGGUCUCUUCCAUAACAUAAUUCACAUGGCCUUGACAAAAGACUAGCAGAUAUUCCACUUACUACCUUAUCUCCUUCAUCUAUAGACAAAAUAAUGGGGGAUUAGAAAAACUGUAAUGGAAUUUCCUGAGAAUGGGAAACAGGAUGCUUGAAAUCCAUGGACAUGAUUUUUGUUGAACUACCAAGACCAAGGUCUAUUUUUUGUAUAGCAUUGUGUGGAUAAAAUAUAGAUGUUAUUUAUAUGCAUAUAUAUA
RNAcentral lists this long non-coding RNA (1758 nucleotides) under Lytechinus variegatus (green sea urchin). Its description in RNAcentral is "uncharacterized LOC121423375". The record is from RNAcentral. Lineage: Eukaryota; Metazoa; Echinodermata; Echinoidea; Temnopleuroida; Toxopneustidae.